AAUGUGCUUCUGUCCAUCAUCUGGGUCAUAUAUAGUUCAAUGCGAGCUGAGCAGACAGGGCUGCAAGGAAAUCUGGCGCGGUUCAAUACCUCGUCUAGCCUGGGUUCCAGUAUCUAAUUUUUUUUACUGACAAACUCAUUUCUCUACCGGGACAGGAUGCUGUGCUGGCUGGAAGUUCCAUUUCUACAGCAAGAAUCCUAUCUGGAAACACAGAAGUUGUCCUCUAAGCCACAGCAGCUCGAACUUUUUUGAUUGUUGUUGCUGCUUUCUCCCAUCACCCCCACCCCCUUUUGACAAAGAUCCAACUGUAAAAAGUCUUACGUAACAGUUCAGGACUACUUCGGUUCUUUUACUGGUAUAUCAAGAGGCCUCAAGAGGACUGUGACAACAUUUACAUCUCCAAGUUAAAGCAAUGUGGGUUCCAAAAUAUUUCGUAGUACCUCUGGAAAAGGAAAGAAAAGGAGCUUCCUACUAUUAUUACAGGCAAACAAGAAGAGGAUGUUUACUUGUUUGACUUAGAUCUCACUGAAGGUCCUGCCUCCAGAUAUACAACAGAAUUGCAAACUCAAAUGCCUACAGAAGAUAGGAAGGAAACACAAGUGGAUGAAGGAGGCCAUGUGGGUUUGUGACAAUCCUGAGAGUGCAUGUUCAUUUCAAGACAGCAGUCACUACUCUGUUCCGGCCAACAGACGCCAUGUAGAAAUCCAGGCCCAGUGCUGGACCAUUCAACUUAUCAAGGCCAAAAACCCAAGUAUUUAUGGAACUCCUGCGGGUUUUAAAUGUUGACAACUAACAUGCUUUUAUUUAAACAACUUAAUUAGUCAGGCAAAUUAUGUCCAUAGGCCAGACUACAUUUAGUACAUGGAAUUCUGUGCUAAGGUGAAAAAGACAUAGCACUAUUUUCACUUUGAUUCUUAUUAUUCAUGCAGUUUAUCCUUUCCUAUGCUUACCAACAGAGGAUGCAUUUAUUCAAUUUUGGUUCAUACUGUCAGCACCCUUCAAAGAAAGAUGAUUAUCUCUUCCUACAGAUUCCCAUCUACAAGAAAUACUGGAACCUCCCCCUUCAAAAGAUAUGUAACUUCAGGUAUAAAAGCCAAAAAGCUGUCUUAACUGACUAGUGUACUCAGAAAAUGCUGAUGAAGACUCAUUUGGGACUGAGUUGCUAUCCUCUCCUUAAUAUACCUAGAGAACCACAAGAUUUUUAGAGAAAAUAUCAAUUUGUAAAACUAUGUAUAACUUUAAAGAAGGUGGUUUUAAUAAUCCAGGGUUUCCUUCCACUACCUGAUACAUUUGCCUAAUACAGUAAAUAUUCCCUUUAGUGAGAUAUCAAAAGAAGAAUUCCCACACAUCCCCUUUGUCAUCACAUACUGAAUUUAAACAACCACUUAAACUUUUAAAAAAUGAAAUAAAACACAGGUUUAUAUGAAUCUUUCUCUACUCUGAAAAUGUUACUGCAAUACCGCUCCUAUAGAAAUAAUUUCAGCAACCUACUUUCAGAGUUUCUUCUCAUUUCUUCUUAGUCAUCCAUUACAAAUCUCCAGACCCAGAUGUUCAAGCAUUCCCUGAACCCACCACAGAUAAUAGCAGAGAUCCAUGACUAUCCACGAACCCAACAACAGCCUUUGAAUGCAACUAUCUUUUCAUCAACUGUAAACAAGUCCUAAACUCUUGGCUCCAUAGGAAGUCCCAACCAAGUCAGUAUAAACUCUGAAACAGGGGCAGAGGUCAAGGGGAUGAGAGCUCAGCCUAAACUCUGGAUCUCAUCCCACCCCCACCCUGUUCAAAAGAAACCUUAUCAGAAGGGAACUCCCCAGUAAAAGGCCACAUUCAGGAGACGUGAUCUUGCAGUGAUCUAGCAGAUUCAGCUGAGGCUUUGGAAGCAAGGCUCUUACAACUGUUAUGAAUGUGAAAUACCAAAAUCACAAACAGAAUGGGGAAAAAUCAAGGGAGAUUUGUGAACUUAUUACCUUCAUUUGUUUCAGGAAAGAACCAGUCUGAUAAUAAAUAGUGGAAUAACCUUGAAGCUGAACCACAGGAGAAAUCUCUUUGGGAACCUAUUUCACAGUGAAUUACUCUACUUUAUGUCCAAAAUCAUUCUAACAUAUGCAAAAGAGCCCAAAUGACACUUUAAAAUAGUCUUUAUUCUGUACACAAAGAGCCCCGUUAUAUAUGUUACAAAUCAUUACACUGCCUUAAACUCUUCCAUUAGCAAGUCUUAGAGACAGGACAGAAGAUUUGGAAAACUGCAGCUCUCAAGUCUCAGAUACUUCACUAUGUACUUUGGGGUGAGUCAUUUAACCUCUCUAGGCCUCAGCAUUCUCAUCUGUAGGAUAGAGAUAGUAUCUUUUCAAAUAGGUUUUAUGAGUGCUUAAUGAAAAAUGCACAUGGAAAAUUUUGUGUGUAAUAAAAUUUAGCCAUUAUUUAUUAUUAUUAUUAUUAUUAUUAUUAUUAUUAUUAUUAUUAUUAUUAUUAUUAUUAUUAUUAUUAUUAUUUAGUAAAGCCACAUAUCAUCAAGUUUUGUGUCUGUGUGUCUGCCUUCCUGACUAAAUCAGAGUCCCUAGCGGGCGGGAACUGUGUCUUAGCUUGGUGCACACAUCAAAAAGAAAAAGAGAAGCAGGGAAGGAAGGAAACAAUGGAAGUAGGUAUUACAAAGUCAAACUUGAGUUUAGAUAAUUUUAUAUGAUAUAAGCCUUCUCAUUCCCACUGAAUAUGUUCAAAGUGCCUGGCACAUAAGGAAUACACAAUAAAUGUUCACUUUCUUUCGUUUUUCUCUAACACUCAGCUUUAGAUCAUUCUCUGCAGACCACACCUAGGUUUAUAUGAACUGUUUUCUGAGAUCAAAAAUUGUGACAGAUAGUUUGACAACAAGGAACAGACCCAUCGGACAUAGAAAAGAAUACUGGAAUUUUGGAAUGUACCUAUGAGUACUCUAGCUAAGAUGUGCAUUUCUCGUUUGUAGCUGGAAGAAUCCACAAAAAGUCUACCUGGGAUCCCAAAACACAUAACAGAUGAAUGCAAAGCCAGAGCAAAUUAGUGGUGUUAGGCUUAUUCUGAGAAGCUGUUUUUUUAUCUUGCCUGUUCAUAUCACCAUCACUCAGGAACCUCUGCUUGGUGGGCAUCUUGUGGCAAGAGAGGGCAAAGAGUAAUUUAACUUUGAAGUCUUUUUUAAAAUGCUCAUUUAUCUAGGGCCUAGAUUAGUAGAAAAAAUACAUACAUAAUGUAUGUAUU
Molecule: non-coding RNA, 3228 nt
Organism: Vicugna pacos (alpaca)
Lineage: Eukaryota; Metazoa; Chordata; Mammalia; Artiodactyla; Camelidae
Source: RefSeq, a predicted model, not a curated record